GAUGUAUAAGAAUUUGAAUACGUGAUGAGCUGUAUGACAAAAACAGGAUCUAAUAACAGAAUUCAUCCAAGAGAACUAUAUGCCUGGUUUCUUUUUUUUUUCUCUAUAAUUUGAUUAAUUUAUCAACAAAUAACAUUGUUAUGAAGAAGAAAGAAAGACCUUCAUACAGAUUGAUUUGUAUUCAUGUUAUUGUACAGUGCAUUUUUAAAGUCAGUGAAGCUUCCACUCCUACAAUAAUUGUAGAUAAAGACGAGUUUAAUCUAAAUUAUGGAUCAAAACUUGUAAUUGACACAACAAUAUCGACAAGCUCAACAGUUCAUAAAGUUUACUGGAUACGGAACUCAAGUGGAGUCAUAACAACAUUGGAUCAUGGUUUGUCUGGGACAGAUGGUAUAACUGUUGAUAACCCCGCGUUGACUCUUUCAAAGGUUACGGACAUUGAUAAUGGAUUAUACACAUGUAUUGCGGAAAAUGACGAAGGAAUUGGGUUCAGCAAGAUUAUCAACGUGACUGUAAAUGGUGGAGCUCCAUAUGUCGAAGUGGUCAAAACAAGUUACUCGGUGUUGUAUGGAGAUCAUGUAGCGCUGAAAUGCCAAAUCUCAUCUGUUCUUCGAUUGAUUUUUGUGGCAUGGCAAAAGGAAAACAAUGGCGUUCUAACAG
Molecule: long non-coding RNA, 660 nt
Organism: Mytilus californianus (California mussel)
Lineage: Eukaryota; Metazoa; Mollusca; Bivalvia; Mytilida; Mytilidae
Exons: 4
Source: RefSeq, a predicted model, not a curated record